GCCCUGGUGGAUCAAUGCAAAUCGUCCUCUAAAUGUAAUGGCCGAACUUAGCAACAUUUUAGAGGCAGGUGGAGGUUCGAAUCCUCCCUGGGGCA
This is a non-coding RNA of Mycena leptocephala, 95 nucleotides long. The record is from the annotation of a GenBank genome assembly. NCBI's taxonomy places the organism in Eukaryota, Fungi, Basidiomycota, Agaricomycetes, Agaricales, Mycenaceae.